This 521-nucleotide ribosomal RNA is filed under the name Gilpinia sp. Sus8. Its description in RNAcentral is "eukaryotic LSU rRNA". It matches the Rfam family "Eukaryotic large subunit ribosomal RNA", at positions 666 to 1138 of the family's 3401-position model. The record is from RNAcentral. Lineage: Eukaryota; Metazoa; Arthropoda; Insecta; Hymenoptera; Diprionidae.
CCAAGGAGUCUAACAUGUGCGCGAGUCAUUGGGACGAGCAAACCUAAAGGCGAAAUGAAAGUAAAGGUCGGCCCAGCGCCGACCGAGGGAGGAUGGGUCGCGUCACGAUGCGACCCCGCACUCCCGGGGCGUCUCGUUCUCAUUGCGAGAAGAGGCGCACCCAGAGCGUACACGUUGGGACCCGAAAGAUGGUGAACUAUGCCUGGUCAGGACGAAGUCAGGGGAAACCCUGAUGGAGGUCCGUAGCGAUUCUGACGUGCAAAUCGAUCGUCGGAACUGGGUAUAGGGGCGAAAGACUAAUCGAACCAUCUAGUAGCUGGUUCCCUCCGAAGUUUCCCUCAGGAUAGCUGGCACUCGCGUACAAAACGUACACGAGUCUCAUCCGGUAAAGCGAAUGAUUAGAGGCCUUGGGGCCGAAACGACCUCAACCUAUUCUCAAACUUUAAAUGGGUGAGAUCUCUGGCUUGCUUGAACUAUGAAGCCACGAGAUCUCGGAUCAGAGUGCCAAGUGGGCCACUUUU